AACAGGUACCGUUGACUUUACCAAAGUAGCAUAUGUCGUGACAAUUCCGACACGGAGAGGGGUUUACAAGCCUGUACCCUGUAUAUCCAUGGCUCCUUGCAACAAGAUGUCUCACCUGCCACUUAUUGUGGGCAAAGCUUUGUGUAAGUUUACUUAUGCUUAUGACACCAAAUCGUGGUACCUCUACAUUUAUGCACCCAUUGCUUUGGAUUUUGACUUGUAGCUCCUUUUGACACAUUUGUGAAAGGUAGGCCUUGGCUACACGUAUAAUGUCUGUGCUUGAUGACAACAACAUCUGGUUGUCGUUUGGACGUUGCUUGGUGUCGUGGCUUUUUGUGUUGUCAUGUUGUAAUUUGAUGGCUAUUGGUUUGCAGGACAUGGGAUUUAUGAUGACUUGGCAUGAAGGUAAUAAUUGUCAUCUUGCAGGCCCGACAAUAAAGUUCCAUGAUAAAAGAUGUGACCGUAGGUUGUAGUAUCACAUUGUGAUAUAAUGGGACUGUAUGAUCAAAGCUUCAUGGCUUAUUGUCACCUCUUUGGGUUUUUU
Lathyrus oleraceus (garden pea) is the source of this 544-nucleotide long non-coding RNA. RefSeq lists it as uncharacterized. The transcript is spliced from 3 exons. The record is from RefSeq and is a predicted model, not a curated record. NCBI's taxonomy places the organism in Eukaryota, Viridiplantae, Streptophyta, Magnoliopsida, Fabales, Fabaceae.